Molecule: ribosomal RNA, 301 nt
Filed under: uncultured bacterium
Lineage: Bacteria
Description: partial 16S ribosomal RNA
Rfam family: Bacterial small subunit ribosomal RNA
Source: RNAcentral
CAGUAGCCGCGGUAACACGGAGGGUGCAAGCGUUACUCGGAAUCACUGGGCGUAAAGGACGCGUAGGCGGAUUAUCAAGUCUCUUGUGAAAUCUAACGGCUUAACCGUUAAACUGCUUGGGAAACUGGUAACCUAGAGUAAGGGAGAGGCAGAUGGAAUUCUUGGUGUAGGGGUAAAAUCCGUUGAUAUCAAGAAGAAUACCUAUUGCGAAGGCGAUCUGCUGGAACUUAACUGACGCUAAUGCGUGAAAGCGUGGGGAGCGAACAGGAUUAGAUACCCCAGUAGUCCCUGUCUCUUAUAC